CCCGGCUGAUCCUGCCGGAGAUCACCGUUAUCAGAAUUCGACUAAGCCAUGCGAGGCGCGAGCUAUUUGGGCUCGCCGAACUGCUCAGUAACACGUAGCUAACAUGCCCUCAAGUGGGAGAUAAUCUUGCGAAAGUGAGGCUAAUAUCCCAUAGCUGUUAGAUGCUGGAAUGCUUUAACAGUCAAAGCUCCGGCGCAUGAGGAUUGGGCUGCGGCCUAUCAUGGCUGUUGUGAGUGUAAAGUACUCACAAACCUGUAACGGGUAGGGGUCAUGAGAGUGGGAGCCUCGAGAUGCCUUCUGAGCCAUGAAGGCAGGUCCUACGGGACGCAGCAGGCGCGAAAACUUUCCAAUGGUUUAACGACUGAGAAGGGAAUCCUGAGUGCUUGCAUUUUAUGCAAGCUUUUAUCCUGCCCAAAAAGCAGGGUGAAUAAGCGGUGGGUAAGACGGGUGGCAGCCGCCGCGGUAAUACCCGCGCCACGAAUGGUGAUCACGAUUAUUGGGUCUAAAGAGUCCGUAGCCGGUCCAAAAAGUUCCUGGUGAAAUCCGCUAGCAGACUAGCAGGCUUGCUGGGAAUACUGUUGGACUUGGGAUCGGGAUAGGAUAGGGGUAUUCUUUGGGUAGGGGUUAAAUCCUUUAAUCCAUGGAAGACCUCCGGUGGCGAAGGCGCCUAUCUGGAACGAGUCCGACGGUGAGGGACGAAAGCGUGGGGAGCAAACGGGAUUAGAUACCCCGAUAGUCCACGCUGUAAACGAUGCCCGCUUGAUGUUGCAAACUUUACGAGAGCUUGCAGUGUCGGAGCGUAGGUGUUAAGCGGGCCACCUGGGGAGUACGGCCGCAAGGUUGAAACUUAAGGGAAUUGGCGGGAGAGCACACAAGGGGUGGAGGCUGCGGUUUAAUUGGAUUAAACGCCGGACAUCUCACGAGGAUUGACAGCAGAAUGAAGGUCCUCCCAAUGGGCGUACCAGACAAGCUGAGAGGUGUUGCAUGGCCAUCGUCAGCUCGUACCUUGAGGCGUGCGGUCAAGUUCGUUAACGAGCGAGACCCAUGCUGUCAUUUGCUACCGCAUUUUCAGAUUAUAUCAAAAAAGUGCGGGCACUAUGGCAGGACCGCUAGCGAUAAGCUAGAGGAAGGAGUGGGCGACGGUAGGUCCGUAUGGCCCGGAUAUCCUCGGCUACACGCGGCCUACAAUGGUUGAGACAAUGCGUUGCAACUCCGAAAGGAGAAGCCGAUCGCCUAAACUCAACCUCAGUUCGGAUUGAGGGCUGCAACUCGCCCUCAUGAAGCCGGAAUCCCUAGUAAGCAAACGUCAUAACCGUUCGCUGAAUACGUCCCAGCUCUUUGCACACACCGCCUGUCAAGCCAUGCGAGUAGAUUCUUGGUGAGGCUUGGCUUUAACCAAUUCGAGCCAAGAGUUUGCAAGUGGGGCUAAGCCAUAACAAGGUA
RNAcentral lists this ribosomal RNA (1443 nucleotides) under metagenome. RNAcentral's name for it is "bacterial SSU rRNA". It matches the Rfam family "Archaeal small subunit ribosomal RNA". The record is from RNAcentral.